UUAAUUGAAACCAAUAUAUGAGGUAAAUUAUUGUUAAUAAUUUCAAAGAAAUUUUUAUUUCCAAUUAAA
Molecule: transfer RNA, 69 nt
Filed under: Cheumatopsyche brevilineata
Lineage: Eukaryota; Metazoa; Arthropoda; Insecta; Trichoptera; Hydropsychidae
Description: tRNA-Asn
Source: RNAcentral